This 621-nucleotide long non-coding RNA is filed under the name Helianthus annuus (common sunflower). The record is from RNAcentral. Lineage: Eukaryota; Viridiplantae; Streptophyta; Magnoliopsida; Asterales; Asteraceae.
UUUCAUUAGCCACAUUCACAAACCCUAAUUCUAUCCCCUUUUCUUUCAUCCGUCAAUUUUCUAUAACAAGUUGGCAUCUAUUCUUCCCAGCAGUUCAGGUAAAGCUUCUACAUGCAAUUCACUAUUGAACCCUAAAUUGAUGUUUCUCAUGUCCACUUAAACCAGUGUUCCUCUUCAUCGGGUGAAAAGCAUAAAGAUUCAGGUAGGACUAAUUAACCACUUGGAUGUAAAAAGGAAAGGGUAUAAAAAGAAACCCUCAACAAAUGAUUCUGGCUUGCCAAAUAAGAUUCAAUGCAAGAAGCUGGUUAAAGUCAUAAAGUGAUUUACUAAAUUAAUUUGGCCUUGUGUUAUAUAGUAUUUGUCGUGUGUGUGGUGUAUUUCAAACAACGUUGACUGUAAUUGUGCAAGCUUUAAAGAGGAGCUUGGAUCUGCAAAAUGAAGAGCAGAAUUAUUGAGGGAAUUCUUACUCAUAAUGGUUAAUCCGGAUCACUAGUCAGUGUUCUAUUAUCACAUUUUGGAUUUUUUAACACUAUUUGUUGUCAUUGGAUAUAAGAAUGUAUGGAAAACACUAGAGUGGCUAACUUAGGGCUAAGCUAAACCGAAGUCUAUUGGAGAAAUGGA